AUACUUACCUGGACGGGGUCUAUGGGUGAUCAAUAAGACCCAUGGCCUAGGUUGGUGACCUCCAUUGCACUUAGGAGGGGUGCCCGCCUAACAUCUCCCCAAGUGGGAGAGUGUACGUCAUAAUUUGUUAAUGAGGGGGUACGCGUUCGCGCGGCCCCUG
RNAcentral lists this small nuclear RNA (160 nucleotides) under Nelumbo nucifera (sacred lotus). RNAcentral describes it as "U1 spliceosomal RNA". It matches the Rfam family "U1 spliceosomal RNA". Rfam says of the family: U1 is a small nuclear RNA (snRNA) component of the spliceosome (involved in pre-mRNA splicing). Its 5' end forms complementary base pairs with the 5' splice junction, thus defining the 5' donor site of an intron. There are significant differences in sequence and secondary structure between metazoan and yeast U1 snRNAs, the latter being much longer (568 nucleotides as compared to 164 nucleotides in human). The record is from Rfam by way of RNAcentral. Lineage: Eukaryota; Viridiplantae; Streptophyta; Magnoliopsida; Proteales; Nelumbonaceae.